Molecule: ribosomal RNA, 468 nt
Filed under: uncultured bacterium
Lineage: Bacteria
Description: partial 16S ribosomal RNA
Rfam family: Bacterial small subunit ribosomal RNA
Source: RNAcentral
GACGAACGCUGGCGGCGUGCUUAAUACAUGCAAGUCGAACGGAAAGGCCCUGCUUUUGUGGGGUGCUCGAGUGGCGAACGGGUGAGUAACACGUGAGUAACCUGCCCUUGACUUUGGGAUAACUUCAGGAAACUGGGGCUAAUACCGGAUAGGAGCUCCUGCUGCAUGGGGGGGGUUGGAAAGUUUCGGCGGUUGGGGAUGGACUCGCGGCUUAUCAGCUUGUUGGUGGGGUAGUGGCUUACCAAGGCUUUGACGGGUAGCCGGCCUGAGAGGGUGACCGGCCACAUUGGGACUGAGAGACGGCGCAGUCUCCUACGGGAGGCAGCGGUGGGGAAUAUUGCACAAUGGGCGGGAGCCUGAUGCAGCGGCGCCGCGUGCGGAAUGACGGCCUUCGGGUUAUGAACCGCUUUCGCCUGUGACGAAGCGUGAGUGACGGUAAUGGGUAAAGAAGCACCGGCUAACUACGUG